GACGAACGCUGGCGGCGUGCUUAACACAUGCAAGUCGAGCGGUAAGGCCCUUUCGGGGUACGACGAGCGGCGAACGGGUAGGAGUAACAACGUGGGUGGACCUCGCCCUCCAGCUCUGGGAGUAAGACCCGGGAACCGUAGGGUCGUAAUACCGGAUAUGACUUCAUGACGCAUGUUGUGGAGUGGAAAGACCUUGUGCGGC
This 202-nucleotide ribosomal RNA is filed under the name uncultured bacterium. RNAcentral's name for it is "partial 16S ribosomal RNA". It matches the Rfam family "Bacterial small subunit ribosomal RNA", at positions 28 to 219 of the family's 1533-position model. The record is from RNAcentral.